GGUGACAGAAGCAAAGAAAAGAUAGAAGGGGAGGUUUGUGACAGCCAACCAUCCUGAGGAAGAUGGCACAUGAUGAUGAUGACGGGGAUAAAAAAAGAAGUGUUGUUGACAAGCAACAAAGAUUGCAGAGUACAAAGCAAUGCAUCCAGUCACAAAAGUCUCUUUCUAAGGUCAAGGACUUACUUCAGGAGUAUACAGGUCUCUAUGGGCUCUUCACCUCAGUUAAAGCUAGUGAAGGUAUCUGAGCAGUGUGACGUCCUCAAACCUCCAAAAAUUGGCUACUGGUUUGAUUAGGGCCCCAUAAGCUGCAUACUACUAUUAUACUAGCUCUUAAUUUAUACUGGAAUUGAUGAUUCAGUUAUAAAACAAAAUUUAAUGUUCAUAUUACAGUUUGUUUAUACAGAAACUUUGAUUCAAAACUAGAGGUGACAACUGGAAAUUAAUUCGACAAAUCUCUUAUUUAUCUAGAUGUUGAAAUUUUUAUGACAGUUUUUAAAAUAAAUGGUUACAUAUUUUUAGAGGUUCAAUAAAUUUGAGUGUUGCAUCAAAGAGGAAUAAAAAUGGUGUUUUUCAGAUUAAAUAAAAUCAAUUUGUAUUACUAAAGCAAACAAAAUAGAUGGAUAUU
Molecule: long non-coding RNA, 625 nt
Organism: Limulus polyphemus (Atlantic horseshoe crab)
Lineage: Eukaryota; Metazoa; Arthropoda; Merostomata; Xiphosura; Limulidae
Exons: 2
Source: RefSeq, a predicted model, not a curated record